This is a long non-coding RNA of Eleginops maclovinus (Patagonian blennie), 700 nucleotides long. RefSeq lists it as uncharacterized. The transcript has 3 exons. The record is from RefSeq and is a predicted model, not a curated record. NCBI's taxonomy places the organism in Eukaryota, Metazoa, Chordata, Actinopteri, Perciformes, Eleginopidae.
CAAAAGCCAAGUUACAAUUAAACACAAAUUAAAUUGUACAUGAGGACUAUCUUGGAGUCCUGGCACACGAAUCCAGCAAGCAGGUGUAUGUUAUUCAGUGUGCCAUUGUACAUUUUUGGAACAAGUCCAAGUACACCACAAAAAUGUGCUAUUUAGGGAGUAUGAUUGGAUUUUCCAUCCAGUGUGCAGACAUGGACGCUGGUUCCUUGUUGAUGCAAAAGUGGAAUCGCGACAGGUCUACAUCAUGGACUCCCUAAGUCCUGCAAAAGAGCGGCAGUUCUUCUUGCAAUGGAGAAACUUCAUGAAGGAGAGAGGCGCUCAAACAGGGAGGUGUCUGGCUGGAUGGACUCUUCAAAAAGUCCCGGUUGGUAAACAGCAGGAUGGCUCAAGCUGCAGCCUUUUUGUGCUGAUGGAAAGUCCUGUUUUUAAAAGCACAGAUUUUGAAAGUGCCAUUUCAUUGACUCUACUUGCUUGUUUGUGGUUUGAACUUAAAGCCACACAAUGAUGGGUCAUGAAAUCAUUUGUAAAAUGAACUUUGUACUGCAUAUUGAAAAUAAAUGUUCAAUUUCAGAAUCCUGACGCCCUGCUAAAAGAUGCAGAUCCUGCCAGCGUCCAAGAGCCUCAGAUAAUAAAUAGACUGAUUAGGGCACAAUAAGAUCAUUGUUUUUUUCAGUCAUUGUACUGUUGUGCUAUUUUGUAA